RNAcentral lists this transfer RNA (91 nucleotides) under Thermoplasmatales archaeon E-plasma. It matches the Rfam family "tRNA". Rfam says of the family: Transfer RNA (tRNA) molecules are approximately 80 nucleotides in length. Their secondary structure includes four short double-helical elements and three loops (D, anti-codon, and T loops). The record is from Rfam by way of RNAcentral. Lineage: Archaea; Methanobacteriati; Thermoplasmatota; Thermoplasmata; Thermoplasmatales.
GCCGGGGUGGCUUAGUUGGUAGAGCGCCGGACUCAUAGGAAUAUAAUUCUGAGAAAUCCGGAGGUCUCGGGUUCAAUCCCCGAUCCCGGCA